AAGUCAUCUUAGAUGAAUUGUCUUGAAUGAAAUUCAGUGUUGACUCGUUAAAUUAAUAUAUUAUUAUCUCGUAUGAGAAUUAAUAUAUCAUCGAAGAUGAUAGUACACUUCUUCUAUAAAAUAUAAUUGAUCAAACUCUCAAUUUCAACCUAUUAUGGAUCAAGCUAUAUCAAUUUCAACCUGCAACGAGUGUUUUGGAACCAUUAUAGAAAUUCACAAGUAAAUUUGAUGGGAUCAGAUGUGCUUCAGAGGUGCUUCGCUAACCAGCCACUUGAAAUCAAAGAAAGGAAGAUAAAAAUGAGAUAUAAAAAAGUAAUCAAAAAUAUAAGGACAAUUUCAAUUCUG
This is a long non-coding RNA of Vespa velutina, 345 nucleotides long. RefSeq lists it as uncharacterized. The record is from RefSeq and is a predicted model, not a curated record. NCBI's taxonomy places the organism in Eukaryota, Metazoa, Arthropoda, Insecta, Hymenoptera, Vespidae. The transcript is spliced from 3 exons.